Molecule: ribosomal RNA, 366 nt
Filed under: uncultured bacterium
Lineage: Bacteria
Description: bacterial SSU rRNA
Rfam family: Bacterial small subunit ribosomal RNA
Source: RNAcentral
GACGAACGCUGGCGGCGUGCUUAACACAUGCAAGUCGAACGGUAAGGCCCUUCGGGGUACACGAGUGGCGAACGGGUGAGUAACACGUGGGUGAUCUGCCCUGCACUUCGGGAUAAGCCUGGGAAACUGGGUCUAAUACCGGAUAGGACCAUGGACUUCACGGUUUGUGGUGGAAAGCUUUUGCGGUGUGGGAUGGGCCCGCGGGCCUAUCAGCUUAUUGGUGGGGUAAUGGCCUACCAAGGCGACGACGGGUAGCCGGCCUGAGAGGGGUGUCCGGCCACACUGGGACUGAGAUACGGCCCAGACUCCUACGGGAGGCAGCAGUGGGGAAUAUUGCACAAUGGGCGCAAGCCUGAUGCAGCGACG